CCGACCAAGAAGAUGUUCAAACAACCAAGAGAUAUGUUAGUCCAAAAACAGAAUGAGGAGCGAACUUUUACCACUUAUUUGUGUAGAAGAGUAUGGUACCAGGGGUGCAGCUGACUCUGAUUCUCGGCUUGUUCUAUUGAAAAAAGGCAGAUGAGGCACUGGAAUCCGAAUGUAAUCAAAAAUGCCAUUGUAUGAGGAUUGACCUGCAAUGCAUGGCAAUCAUCUUAACACAACUGCAACGCCUUCCUUGGAAAAAUGAGUGCAAGAUGGAAACAAAGCAUUCAGUGGAACAUCUUGUCAUCUCAAAUAUUUGAUGACUUACAUACUGAUGUGAAGUUGAAGAUAAAAGUCAUCUGUUGGUCCGUGAUAAUUAAAUAAAUCCGAACAUAUAUUUUAAAAGGGUAAAAUGGUAAAGGAUUUAUAUACACUUUAAGUGGUUUUCCUAUAUUAUGGAGGGAAGAUAACUACAAAAACAGAAACAGAUGGCAUCGGCAGACCAAAUAAAGGAGAACUAUUUUGUUCAAUUCAAUUUUUAAGACUUCAGAAAAUCUGUUAAUAGGGCACAUCUUUGCAAGUGCCAUAUUGUAAACGGGGCUCUUUAAAAUGUGAAAAGGUGAAAGUGGUCUAGAGGAUAAGCCCCAAAUUCAAGGUUGUGAGUUCAAGACCUCCAAGAUACUUUCUCUUGACCUCAGGAAAAGGAUGUCCAUACUUGUUUCUUCUUAGGCAACAGACUUAAGAGUGAUUUUGUAAGCUUCCAGCUUGCAUAGCAAUCUGAUAAGGCAUAAAAUAAGAUACUAGCUGACUUGCAAACAGUUUUUCCAUUUGUGUUGAUUUAUUUUUCAGUCUGUUUGAAUGUUUAUUAGAAGUGAUGCGCAUUGCUUACUGCAACCAAUAUUUAUUUUCUUUAUUAAGUUGAAUUUAACGAACACAUAACAUGACCUUUGAUUUUACAGAUGCAUGUUUAUUUCGUUGAUUGUAUGAGUUUAUUUUCUCAACUGAUGUAAUAAAAGUUAUUCUGAAUGACUGUCCUUUUUUGUUUGAAGAAAAUGUGUUGAGGUUUUGGCAUAGCAUAGUGUCAUCAUCAUCAUCAUCAUUGUUGUGUACAAAUAAAACAUUCAAAACAAUGUAUUAAAAACCAAACU
This is a long non-coding RNA of Mya arenaria, 1142 nucleotides long. RefSeq lists it as uncharacterized. Lineage: Eukaryota; Metazoa; Mollusca; Bivalvia; Myida; Myidae. The transcript has 3 exons. The record is from RefSeq and is a predicted model, not a curated record.